Molecule: transfer RNA, 71 nt
Filed under: Minisyncoccota bacterium
Lineage: Bacteria; Bacillati; Minisyncoccota
Description: tRNA-Gly
Rfam family: tRNA
About the family: Transfer RNA (tRNA) molecules are approximately 80 nucleotides in length. Their secondary structure includes four short double-helical elements and three loops (D, anti-codon, and T loops).
Source: RNAcentral
GCGGCCAUGGUUAAGUGGUAUAACAGGACAUUGCCAAUGUUCAGUCGGGAGUUCGAUUCUCCCUGGCCGCA